UUGUGUGUUUAGACCAUUAUUUACUUUACUUGUUGGUUGUGGAUAAUAUUGUUUGUUUUUUAUUGCAGAUGAAUAAUUUAGCAUUUCUUAUCAUGCUUGUCUUCGGACUCGUUGUCCUCACAGAAAGCGCAGGAUAUGACGAAGGUUUUCGACGUCUAGGUGAAACGGAAAUGUUGCAAAAUGGCGUUCAAGAUCUGCCUAAAUUAAAAGGAGAUUUCAUUGGAGGAAAAGCAGGUUAGCAAACCUAGAGAUUUCCCUCAUCAUUGCAACAUACUUAAUUUGCAAUAAAAUUUAUUAAAAUUUAUUCAUUUAAUGAUCGUGAAUUAACACAUGCGUGUGAUUUUCUAUGUCGCGUAAAAGUGGUGUUCGAGCAUUAUAUUGGGUUCGGUGUUAUUUUGCGCGAAAGGUAUUUAUGAAACCAGCGGUAUCUAUAAACUCAUGUAACUUAUUCUUUCUAUUUGAACCAGAUGCAGUCCAAUAAUUUGUCGUAGCCUAAUAAAAAUCUUCAAUAGUAUAGGCUUUAUUGGACUGCAUCUGCAAACGCACACAACGUUAAAUACACAAAGCGCACA
Ciona intestinalis (vase tunicate) is the source of this 572-nucleotide non-coding RNA. Lineage: Eukaryota; Metazoa; Chordata; Ascidiacea; Phlebobranchia; Cionidae. The record is from RefSeq and is a predicted model, not a curated record.